Molecule: ribosomal RNA, 468 nt
Filed under: uncultured bacterium
Lineage: Bacteria
Description: partial 16S ribosomal RNA
Rfam family: Bacterial small subunit ribosomal RNA
Source: RNAcentral
GACGAACGCUGGCGGCGUGCUUAACACAUGCAAGUCGAACGGAAAGGCCCUGCUUUUGUGGGGUGCUCGAGUGGCGAACGGGUGAGUAACACGUGAGUAACCUGCCCUUGACUUUGGGAUAACUUCAGGAAACUGGGGCUAAUACCGGAUAGGAGCUCCUGCUGCAUGGUGGGGGUUGGAAAGCUUCGGCGGUUGGGGAUGGACUCGCGGCUUAUCAGCUUGUUGGUGGGGUAGUGGCUUACCAAGGCUUUGACGGGUAGCCGGCCUGAGAGGGUGACCGGCCACAUUGGGACUGAGAGACGGCCCAGACUCCUACGGGAGGCAGCAGUGGGGAAUAUUGCACAAUGGGCGGAAGCCUGAUGCAGCAACGCCGCGUGCGGGAUGACGGCCUUCGGGUUGUAAACCGCUUUCGCCUGUGACGAGGCGUGAGUGACGGUAAUGGGUAAAGAAGCACCGGCUAACUACGUG